UACGAAGGGAGCUAGCGUUGUUCGGAAUCACUGGGCGUAAAGCGCACGUAGGCGGAUUGCUAAGUCAGGGGUGAAAUCCUGGAGCUCAACUCCAGAACUGCCUUUGAUACUGGCGAUCUUGAGUCCGGGAGAGGUGAGUGGAACUGCGAGUGUAGAGGUGAAAUUCGUAGAUAUUCGCAAGAACACCAGUGGCGAAGGCGGCUUACUGGUCCGGUUCUGACGCUGAGGCGCGAAAGCGUGGGGAGCAAACAGG
This 253-nucleotide ribosomal RNA is filed under the name uncultured bacterium. RNAcentral's name for it is "partial 16S ribosomal RNA". It matches the Rfam family "Bacterial small subunit ribosomal RNA", at positions 524 to 776 of the family's 1533-position model. The record is from RNAcentral.